GCGCGAAAACUCUACAAUGCAGGCAACUGCGAUAGGGGGACAUCGAGUGGCAUCCACCUUGGGUGCCUGUCCAACCGUCUAAAAAACGGUUGUUAGCAAGGGCCGGGUAAGACCGGUGCCAGCCGCCGCGGUAAUACCGGCGGCUCGAGUGGUGGCCGAUAUUAUUGAGUCUAAAGGGUCCGUAGCCGGCUUUGCAAGUCCCCUGGGAAAUCCAGCGGCUUAACCGUUGGGCUUUCAUGGGAUACUACAUUGCUUGGGACUGGGAGAGGUAGGAGGUACUCGGGGGGUAGGGGUGAAAUCCUGUAAUCCUCCGGGGACCACCGGUGGCGAAGGCGUCCUACCAGAACAGGUCCGACGGUGAGGGACGAAAGCUAGGGGCACGAACCGGAUUAGAUACCCGGGUAGUCCUAGCCGUAAACGAUGCCCGCUAGGUGUCACGACGGUCGUGAAUCGUCGUGGUGCCGUAGGGAAGCCGCGAAGCGGGCCACUUGGGAAGUACGGCCGCAAGGCUGAAACUUAAAGGAAUUGGCGGGGGAGCAC
This 540-nucleotide ribosomal RNA is filed under the name uncultured archaeon. RNAcentral's name for it is "bacterial SSU rRNA". It matches the Rfam family "Archaeal small subunit ribosomal RNA", at positions 339 to 879 of the family's 1478-position model. The record is from RNAcentral.